This 75-nucleotide small nucleolar RNA is filed under the name Cercocebus atys (sooty mangabey). RNAcentral's name for it is "Small nucleolar RNA SNORD113/SNORD114 family (ENSCATG00000017859.1)". It matches the Rfam family "Small nucleolar RNA SNORD113/SNORD114 family". From Rfam's summary of the family: The imprinted human domain at 14q32 contains two clusters of tandemly repeated small nucleolar RNAs named 14q(I) and 14q(II) snoRNAs. These two clusters are named SNORD113 and SNORD114 respectively in the HGNC approved gene symbol nomenclature. The snoRNAs found in both clusters are clearly related and are represented here by a single family. The record is from Rfam by way of RNAcentral. Lineage: Eukaryota; Metazoa; Chordata; Mammalia; Primates; Cercopithecidae.
UGGGCCGGUGAUGACAGCUGGUGGCGUGUGAGUCAUGGAUGGUGAGUACUAAGUGUCUGGAACUCUGAGGUUCAA